Molecule: ribosomal RNA, 495 nt
Filed under: uncultured bacterium
Lineage: Bacteria
Description: partial 16S ribosomal RNA
Rfam family: Bacterial small subunit ribosomal RNA
Source: RNAcentral
GACGAACGCUGGCGGCGUGCCUAAUACAUGCAAGUAGAACGCUGAAGGAGGAGCUUGCUUCUCUGGAUGAGUUGCGAACGGGUGAGUAACGCGUAGGUAACCUGCCUGGUAGCGGGGGAUAACUAUUGGAAACGAUAGCUAAUACCGCAUAAUAGCAGUUGUUGCAUGACAACUGUUUGAAAGGUGCAAUUGCACCACUACCAGAUGGACCUGCGUUGUAUUAGCUAGUUGGUGGGGUAACGGCUCACCAAGGCGACGAUACAUAGCCGACCUGAGAGGGUGAUCGGCCACACUGGGACUGAGACACGGCCCAGACUCCUACGGGAGGCAGCAGUAGGGAAUCUUCGGCAAUGGACGGAAGUCUGACCGAGCAACGCCGCGGGAGUGAAGAAGGUUUUCGGAUCGUAAAGCUCUGUUGUAAGAGAAGAACGAGUGUGAGAGUGGAAAGUUCACACUGUGACGGUAUCUUACCAGAAAGGGACGGCUAACUACGUG